RNAcentral lists this ribosomal RNA (330 nucleotides) under uncultured Actinomycetes bacterium. Its description in RNAcentral is "bacterial SSU rRNA". It matches the Rfam family "Bacterial small subunit ribosomal RNA", at positions 28 to 351 of the family's 1533-position model. The record is from RNAcentral. Lineage: Bacteria; Bacillati; Actinomycetota; Actinomycetes.
GACGAACGCUGGCGGCGUGCUUAACACAUGCAAGUGGUGCGACGAACCAGGGCUUGCCCUGGGGCAAAGCCGCGAACGGGUGAGUAACACGUGAGUAAUCUGCCCCGAUGACCGGGACAACCCGAGGAAACUCGGGCUAAUACCGGAUGUGGUGCAUUGGCUUAAGCCUUUGUACUAAAGGAAGCUUCGGCCUCCGCAUUGGGAGGAGCUCGCGGCCCAUUAGCUUGUUGGUGGGGUAACGGCCUACCAAGGCAACGAUGGGUAGCUGGUCUGAGAGGACGAUCAGCCACACUGGGACUGAGACACGGCCCAGACUCCUACGGGUGGCAG